Molecule: small nucleolar RNA, 121 nt
Filed under: Echinops telfairi (small Madagascar hedgehog)
Lineage: Eukaryota; Metazoa; Chordata; Mammalia; Afrosoricida; Tenrecidae
Description: Small nucleolar RNA SNORA61 (ENSETEG00000026299.1)
Source: RNAcentral
UCUCUCCAGAUUCCUUAUCUCUCAAACCUAAAUAGUGAUUUGAGUGGCUUAAAAAAGUGGAAAAGUAAAAUUGAAAUGACCUUGGAGUCUUUAGUGACAAACAAGUUCAUCUAAAACACAA